AGGACGAACGCUUGCGACGUGCCUAAGAAAUGCAAGUCGAACGGACAGCAGCAAUGUUGUUAGUGGCGAACGGUCGCGUAACACGUGGGCAACCUGCCCUGAAGCGGGGGACAACAAGCCGAAAGGUUUGCUAAUACCGCAUGUGGAUCGCCUCGGCAUCGAGGAUUAUCCAAAGCCCUAUAGUAAUAUACGGCACUUCAGGAUGGGCCCGCGGCCUAUCAGCUAGUUGGAGGGGUAACGGCCCACCAAGGCUUCGACGGGUAGCUGGUCUGAGAGGACGAUCAGCCGGAUUGGGACUGAGAUACGGCCCAGACUCCUACGGGGGGCAGCAAUUAGGAAUCUUGCACAAUGGGCGAAAGCCUGAUGCAGCGACGUCGCGUGGGGGACGAAAUCUUUCGGGAUGUAAACCCCUUUUGAGUGGGAAGAACAAAUGACGGUACACUCGAAUAAGCCCGGCUAACUACGUGCCAGCAGCCGCGGUAA
This 483-nucleotide ribosomal RNA is filed under the name uncultured bacterium. RNAcentral describes it as "SSU rRNA". It matches the Rfam family "Bacterial small subunit ribosomal RNA", at positions 26 to 523 of the family's 1533-position model. The record is from RNAcentral.